AAAACGACUCUCGGCAAUGGAUAUCUCGGCUCUCGCAUCGAUGAAGAACGUAGCAAACUGCGAUACUUGGUGUGAAUUGCAGAAUCCCGUGAAUCAUCGAGUCUUUGAACGCAAGUUGCGCCCAAAGCCGUCAGGCCGAGGGCACGCCUGCCUGGGCAUCACGA
Molecule: ribosomal RNA, 164 nt
Filed under: Exacum trinervium subsp. ritigalense
Lineage: Eukaryota; Viridiplantae; Streptophyta; Magnoliopsida; Gentianales; Gentianaceae
Description: 5.8S ribosomal RNA
Rfam family: 5.8S ribosomal RNA
About the family: 5.8S ribosomal RNA (5.8S rRNA) is a component of the large subunit of the eukaryotic ribosome. It is transcribed by RNA polymerase I as part of the 45S precursor that also contains 18S and 28S rRNA.
Source: RNAcentral